This 124-nucleotide ribosomal RNA is filed under the name Dendrosporobacter quercicolus DSM 1736. RNAcentral describes it as "partial 16S ribosomal RNA". It matches the Rfam family "Bacterial small subunit ribosomal RNA", at positions 1421 to 1533 of the family's 1533-position model. The record is from RNAcentral. Lineage: Bacteria; Bacillati; Bacillota; Negativicutes; Selenomonadales; Sporomusaceae.
CCGAAACCGGCGACUUAACCUGAAAAGGAGAGAACCGUCUAAGGUGGGGCCGAUGAUUGGGGUGAAGUCGUAACAAGGUAGCCGUAUCGGAAGGUGCGGCUGGAUCACCUCCUUUCUAAGGAGA